CAUGUUUUUAGGGGUGGGGGAAACCAGAGUACCCAGAGAAAACCCACGCAAGCACGAAGAGAAUCUGCAAACUCCGCAUAGGAAGACCCCAGGUCCGAACCGUGGAUUGAACCCAGGACCUCCUUGCUGUGAGGCGUCGGUACUAACCACUGAGCCAUCGUGCUGCCAAGAUUGAUGCUACGUGAAUCGUUUGCAACAAUUGUAACAUAUUUUUUACGCGAGUUACCAAGAACCAGCAAACUAACAUUAGCUACCUUUAGCUUCCCYUUUUCUGUCACUGAUGAAUGGUCCCGUACAAUCUUCUGCACUUUUCCUUUAAGUUUGAUGUGGUAAAGUUUGGUGUCGCAAAUAAAAACGAAAGCAGGUUUUAAAUUUUUGGAUUCACAUACAGAUUAGACUGGAACUAUUUGCCCAUCACACUGAAGAGUUGUUAGGCUCUUUGUUUGCCUGGCUCAAGAUAGAGAUCGUUUGGUCACAUGCAUAAGGUGUGAAUUUAAAUGAAACUGACUGGGAAUCAGUCUUUUUUAUUGUUAAUGACCUGGAUGACCAAGAACUAAGAAUUUUCACCAGCAAACAUUCUGGCUCUUUGCAAAGAAGAGAUGAGAUAAUCUGACUAAACAAUCAGUAAGAAAGUCCAAAAUACCCACUUUAUCUUCAAGAAGAUUAGAGAAGACAAGAACCCAGUCCUGCCAAACAUACAGCGGGUAAAACAAGUAUUGAACACAUCACCAUUUUUCUCAGUGUGGCAGUAUGCCCUGUAGGCUUUGAAUGCACCACACAAUUGCCUGCAUCUAAUUGGUUGUGGUGCUGGCUGCCUGUAUAUAAAGGGCCCUCCCUCUACCUGUGUGACAUGUUUGCCUCCCGGUUCAGACUACUGUGAUUGUGGGUGCUGCACGCUAGUCCCAGGCUAGUGGGUGUAUGAAGGGUGCGUUUAACGACCCUUGAUCCUUUUUAUGGCUACCAGAAUGAGUCUACCUGAUUCGUCCUCCUUUAGAGGAGCUACACUUUAGGCUCAGUGGUGAGUGCAAUGUUUGUCUUAUCAGUUUCUCAAUUACACAAAUUUAAUUUCUUAAUGUUUGUUCUGUACCAGAUGCUGCUGUUUGUCCUUUGCCGGUGUUCUGCUGGAGGCCCUAUUUGUUCACUUCCGGUUUUCUAUCUAUGCCGUGUGGUUCUUUGGCCGGCUUCUAGUGAUGGGCAAAUGAGGCUUUUCUGAAGCACUGAAGCUUGCUUUGAAAAAGGGUUCAUUACUCGAAGCUUUCCAACACAGUUCUCUUUGGCUCCACCCUGUUAGGCUGUUACCU
Long non-coding RNA from Austrofundulus limnaeus, 1301 nucleotides. RefSeq lists it as uncharacterized. The transcript has 4 exons. Lineage: Eukaryota; Metazoa; Chordata; Actinopteri; Cyprinodontiformes; Rivulidae. The record is from RefSeq and is a predicted model, not a curated record.